UAGGGAAUCUUGGACAAUGGGCGCAAGCCUGAUCCAGCCAUGCCGCGUGAGUGAAGAAGGCCUUCGGGUUGUAAAGCUCUUUUACCAGGGACGAUAAUGACGGUACCUGGAGAAUAAGCUCCGGCAAACUUCGUGCCAGCAGCCGCGGUAAUACGAAGGGGGCUAGCGUUAAUCGGAGUGACUGGGCGUAAAGGGCAUGUAGGCGGUUAUAUUAGUCUGAUGUAAAAGACCCGGGCUUAACCUGGGAUAUGCAUUGGAAACGGUAUAGCUAGAGUAUGGGAGAGGGAAGUGGAAUUUCCGGUGUAGCGGUGAAAUGCGUAGAGAUCGGAAAGAACACUCGUGGCGAAGGCGGCUUUCUGGCCCAUAACUGACGCUGAGGUGCGAAAGCAUGGGGAGCAAACAGGAUUAGAUACCCCUGUAGUCCCUGAGCGGGCUGGCAAGGCGCAU
RNAcentral lists this ribosomal RNA (447 nucleotides) under uncultured bacterium. Its description in RNAcentral is "bacterial SSU rRNA". It matches the Rfam family "Bacterial small subunit ribosomal RNA", at positions 355 to 825 of the family's 1533-position model. The record is from RNAcentral.